GCCAGCAGCCAUAUCGUCUUGCUACUCACAAAUGACAACCUAGUGAAGCUCAGCAGGUGUGAGCCUGGUCAGUACCUGGAUGGGAGACCUCCUGGGAAAAACCAAGGUUGCUGCUAAAG
RNAcentral lists this ribosomal RNA (119 nucleotides) under Lepisosteus oculatus (spotted gar). The record is from RNAcentral. Lineage: Eukaryota; Metazoa; Chordata; Actinopteri; Semionotiformes; Lepisosteidae.